This 223-nucleotide ribosomal RNA is filed under the name uncultured bacterium. RNAcentral describes it as "partial 16S ribosomal RNA". It matches the Rfam family "Bacterial small subunit ribosomal RNA", at positions 127 to 334 of the family's 1533-position model. The record is from RNAcentral.
CGCCCUUCAGAGGGGGACAACAGUUGGAAACGACUGCUAAUACCGCAUACGAUCCAAUCUCGGCAUCGAGACUGGAUGAAAGGUGGCCUCUAUUUAUAAGCUAUCACUGAAGGAGGGGAUUGCGUCUGAUUAGCUAGUUGGAGGGGUAACGGCCCACCAAGGCGAUGAUCAGUAGCCGGUCUGAGAGGAUGAACGGCCACAUUGGAACUGAGACACGGUCCAA